UUUGGAAUGACCUUGUCUUCUGAGAGCCAUUUCUUGAAGUGUGACAAUAGAAAGGUAAGUGUUGGUGACUAGACAGGUGCAUUAUUUUUAAAUUCCGAAGAGUUUUUUCUUUUAAUGUACAAAUUAUAGUUGUCAAUCUUCCAGCUUUCUGCACUGCCAGAAGUCUCUAUUAAUACCCAACAUUCUUUUUGGAAUGGGUAGGUGCCUGAUUAGCUGCACAGAUAUGUUUAAUUAAUCAUUUUAUAUUUUGCUGUGUUUAAAACAAAAAAAGCUGAUGAAAUGUUUAUUAUCAAAUAUUUUAGUUACAGAAAAUAUUUUGAGUUAGUUUUGCCAGUUUAUUCAGUUAAUAUAAUAUUGUCAUAAUUGUUACCAGAUAGCAAAAUCAGAAAUUUUGAGAGUGAUUUCAAAAAGAGUAUGUGUUUUGUAAAAUAUUUUUGAUGGCUAUUUUGAUUGCAAAGUAAAGAGGGUUAAAAGAUUGUUAGGGGAGAUAAAUCUUGCUUUGUCAGGAGAGGCAAGGGCUUUUACAUAAAGCAAGCACAUUGCGCUCAUCAGAACAGAGAAACAACAGAAGCCUUAUACACUUAGUCUUACUGACAACCUUAAUACUAAGUGUGAGUAGAAGUCGGGGGAGUCUUUGUCUAAGAGAAAAUAAAGAACAAUUCAUAUGCCCAGCAAGUAGGAAUUUUGCUCCUGUUUCCAUACAAGGUCCAGCUGCCAUAUAUACACAGUCCAAGAAGCGAAAGGUAACUGUGGGAAAGAAGAGACCUCAGGGAAUGUAAGGUUUGCCCUGAUGUACGCUCAUCUACAAAAUGAAGGAGGAGUAAAAAAUGCCAUUCAAAGGCGCUCAUCAACCCUUUCCCAGCAGGUAGUUAUGUAAGAGCAUUUAAAGGGGUGAGGAGGGCACUUGGGUGUGCUAAUGAUUGCAUAGAAUUCAGUAUUUUAGCCUGUGUAUGCAGAAAACAUGGAAGCACACUAUUUCACAUGCAGAGUGUGGCGUUGUUUUCUCAGUAGACAAAAAAGAAAACUUUGUUAAUGUGUUGUUAAAGGUAUAUGUAGUAGAAAAAUAGUCUUUCUCCAAAUUCUCCAUUUAUACUCCUUUUCCAACAGAAAUGUAUUUUCUCCCUUCCACACUGGUUAAUUCCCCCAUGGUUCUGUGAGCAAUUGCCAUUCUUUGGAUAGUACAGGCAACUGGUGUCCAGAGAUGAUUGUAUAAUUUUGUAGCCUCUCUGUAUUCAGUUGUUUUUGCCUUCAAGAGCUCAGGCUGAUGAAGCAAUAACCUAUAGUGCAUCUGUUCAGACAUCAAAGCAGCAUUUGCAGUGUCUUGCAGACAUUCUUUCUUUAAAGUGUUUUUUGUAGUCUUUGCUCAUCUGUCACAACAGAUGCAUAAAUACAUUCUAAGUUCAAGAUCUUAACUAGACAUCAAAAACAGGCAUUAUAAUUUAAUUUGGUUCCCCUGCUCCUGAAAGAGCAUUCUUCAAGGUCUCAAGAAACUGAAAAUCAAUCACUUAGCUUGGUAGCUUUAUCCCUUGGUUUAUCAUCUUUUUCAUCCUUUUCAUUUUUUCACUGUUCUCUUUUCCAGCUUGAAAUUUUAAGGUUUUAAUUUGAAUGCAUUUGGCUUGUACCAUGCCUUUCUCUGCUAACUAGAAGAAGCCUUGAGCAGGCAAUAUUUUCUUUGCCUAAACUUACUUGUAUAAUAAAAUCAAGUUGCCUUUCAGACAUAUUUAUUUGAUGAACUGAGUGAAUGUACAUUUACAAUCUUACUGAGGGCCUCCUGUGAUUUCUGCAAUAACAGUUUUAUUGUAAUCGUGAUCAUGUUUUAAAGUUGCAAAUAUAGGCAUGAUAUUUCAUUAAUAGCCUUUUAGUGGUCAGGGCCACCCACAGAAGUAAAAUCCUCUUCCUUCUCAGACUUGAUCUGCUGAUUAUUUACUCAAAGAUCACAUUAGUCUUUUUUGCUGCAACAUCAUUCUGGGAUGUUGUCCAUUACAAUUCUAAAUUCAAGAUACAGUUACCCAGGCUUAGCUACAUUCUUUGUUCCCAUUUGUAACUCUGUAUUUCACUCUGGUAAGACAAAUUCUAUUGAAUUAGGUUCAGCUAAUUAAUGUAUCUAAAUUUCCUUAUAUGAUUACACUCUAUCAGCCUUUCAAUUAUCGUUGUGCUCAGCAAAUUUUAGCAGCAAAAUUUUUUUAAAGUGCAUUGACUCAUGUUCAGUGAUGUAAGUUCUAAUAGUGCCUCUUACGAUAGUGCAUUCAAAAUAUCCCCAUUUAGUUAUAAUUCCUCAUAGACAACUACUUUUUGAGAUCUGUUGAUUUGCCUUUAAGCAUUUCUGGUGCUGAAUAACACUGUUUCAAAAGAUAAUGCAGAACAUCUCCAAAAGUCUAAGCACACAAUAUCUGUGCAAUAAUCUUUUUACAAAUCUUAUACUCAUUUAAGAAAGAAAUUCAGUAGGUCCAUCAACAUUUGAUUUUUUUUUUUAUUCCUAUUUCAUAUACUGAUUAGAAGAAAUUCUAGAGCAAAUCCUUUAAUUCUUGAUUAGUUGAAUGACCUUUUCUUUUAUUGUGCUUGGGAUUGAGGUCAGCCUGUGACUACACAGGUUCAUUCUGUCAUUUCUCUUUAUUAUCAUCACUCAUCAGGUUUCCAGGCAUUUCUUUGCUACUCAGUAUCAGCAGGUGAUAAAACUUGUCAGGCAACUCAUCUAAGAUUUUGGUUCAAAAGUAUUUAGUCCUGGCUGCAUUGAAAAUACGGUAAGUAUUGCUUAGUGUUUGUCUUAGUCGUUGAUAAACCCUCUGCUCUUUGUCCCAAGGGCUAGGACAACAGAUUUGGGAUGGCCAGCAGUAAACUGCUUAGAAGCAGUGAAACGUGAAGAGUGGUUGAGGUACUGUGCUAUUACAGAUGCCUAAGGGUGGGCAAUAGCACGGGACCAGUAGAUUCAACACAGCAUUUAUGGGGCACUCUGGCUUUUCUAGACCACUAGCAAGAGGUCAGGCGGGGUAGUGAGAACACCUAAAAUGACACAAAUAGCUUUAUCAUUCCUCUAUUAUCUCCAUUCCUCCUUCAGCUGACGGUAACAACCAUAUGAUCUGUGGGGUCCUGGCUUUUUCUGGACAAUGUGCAGUACUUACAUUAAUCAGUCUUUAUUGUUAAUCUUACUAUCUAAUUGAGUUACUACAAGCAGGAUGCUUUUGGAUACUGUCUCUCCCAUUACAUUGAAUUAUCUAGGUCACAGAAGCAUAGAUGAUCCUACCAAGAUCCACUUCAGAAGAAAUGGCCAUCCCAAAAGUCAACUAAGAAGGAAAUCAGGCUAAAAUACAGGAGCACAUAGGUAGUGGAAGUGACAGUGCUCAAUUAGCCACAGCACGAAAGGCAGGGAGGAGGGUCUGGAGGAGCUUCUAAAUGGCAGGGUCCACAGCCCUCCUUCCUUCUUCCUCUCUGUUCCUGAAAAGCAGAGAGGUCCAGCCUGCACCCCAGACCACCCUCCAUAGCUCCAAAAGCAGCAUCUCCUUGUAGGUGGGAAGAAGAUGAAUCUUUUCAGUGAUGCAUUUGGUGGUCUAGAGCAAAAUGUAUUAAAAAUUAUAAUAAAAAUGUCAAAAAUUAUUAAA
Long non-coding RNA from Dromaius novaehollandiae (emu), 3596 nucleotides. RefSeq lists it as uncharacterized. The transcript is spliced from 2 exons. The record is from RefSeq and is a predicted model, not a curated record. NCBI's taxonomy places the organism in Eukaryota, Metazoa, Chordata, Aves, Casuariiformes, Dromaiidae.